AGCCCAGAGCCUGAAUCAGUGUGUGUGUUAGUGGAAGCGUCUGGAAAGGCGCGCGAUACAGGGUGACAGCCCCGUACACAAAAAUGCACAUGCUGUGAGCUCGAUGAGUAGGGCGGGACACGUGGUAUCCUGUCUGAAUAUGGGGGGACCAUCCUCCAAGGCUAAAUACUCCUGACUGACCGAUAGUGAACCAGUACCGUGAGGGAAAGGCGAAAAGAACCCCGGCGAGGGGAGUGAAAAAGAACCUGAAACCGUGUACGUACAAGCAGUGGGAGCACGCUUAGGCGUGUGACUGCGUACCUUUUGUAUAAUGGGUCAGCGACUUAUAUUCUGUAGCAAGGUUAACCGAAUAGGGGAGCCGAAGGGAAACCGAGUCUUAACUGGGCGUUAAGUUGCAGGGUAUAGACCCGAAACCCGGUGAUCUAGCCAUGGGCAGGUUGAAGGUUGGGUAACACUAACUGGAGGACCGAACCGACUAAUGUUGAAAAAUUAGCGGAUGACUUGUGGCUGGGGGUGAAAGGCCAAUCAAACCGGGAGAUAGCUGGUUCUCCCCGAAAGCUAUUUAGGUAGCGCCUCGUGAAUUCAUCUCCGGGGGUAGAGCACUGUUUCGGCAAGGGGGUCAUCCCGACUUACCAACCCGAUGCAAACUGCGAAUACCGGAGAAUGUUAUCACGGGAGACACACGGCGGGUGCUAACGUCCGUCGUGAAGAGGGAAACAACCCAGACCGCCAGCUAAGGUCCCAAAGUCAUGGUUAAGUGGGAAACGAUGUGGGAAGGCCCAGACAGCCAGGAUGUUGGCUUAGAAGCAGCCAUCAUUUAAAGAAAGCGUAAUAGCUCACUGGUCGAGUCGGCCUGCGCGGAAGAUGUAACGGGGCUAAACCAUGCACCGAAGCUGCGGCAGCGACGCUGAUGCGUUGUUGGGUAGGGGAGCGUUCUGUAAGCCUGUGAAGGUGUGCUGUGAGGCAUGCUGGAGGUAUCAGAAGUGCGAAUGCUGACAUAAGUAACGAUAAAGCGGGUGAAAAGCCCGCUCGCCGGAAGACCAAGGGUUCCUGUCCAACGUUAAUCGGGGCAGG
This 1074-nucleotide ribosomal RNA is filed under the name Escherichia coli. RNAcentral describes it as "partial 23S ribosomal RNA". It matches the Rfam family "Bacterial large subunit ribosomal RNA", at positions 296 to 1378 of the family's 2925-position model. Lineage: Bacteria; Pseudomonadati; Pseudomonadota; Gammaproteobacteria; Enterobacterales; Enterobacteriaceae. The record is from RNAcentral.